Oncorhynchus keta (chum salmon) is the source of this 241-nucleotide long non-coding RNA. RefSeq lists it as uncharacterized. The record is from RefSeq and is a predicted model, not a curated record. The transcript has 3 exons. Lineage: Eukaryota; Metazoa; Chordata; Actinopteri; Salmoniformes; Salmonidae.
AGUAGACCUCACAGUGAAAUGCUGAAUACAACAGGUGUAGUAGACCUUGCAGUGAAAUGCUGAAUACAACAGGUGUAGUAGACCUUACAGUGAAAUGCUGAAUACAACAGGUGUAGUAGACCUUGCAGUGAAAUGCUGAAUACAACAGGUGUAGUAGACCUUACAGUGAAAUGCUGAAUACAACAGGUGUAGUAGACCUCACAGUGAAAUGCUGAAUACAACAGGUGUAGGUAGACCUCAC